GACAGAGGGUGCAAACGUUGCUCGGAAUCACUGGGCGUAAAGCGCGUUCAGGCGGUCUGGCAAGUCGGGCAUGAAAUCUCUCGGCUCAACCGGGAGAGGUUGUCCGAUACUGCUGGACUUGAGGGCAGUAGAGGGUGGUGGAAUUCCGGGUGUAGUGGUGAAAUGCGUAGAUAUCCGGAGGAACACCAGUGGCGAAAGCGGCCACCUGGACUGUACCUGACGCUGAGACGCGAAAGCUAGGGGAGCGAACGGG
RNAcentral lists this ribosomal RNA (253 nucleotides) under uncultured bacterium. Its description in RNAcentral is "partial 16S ribosomal RNA". It matches the Rfam family "Bacterial small subunit ribosomal RNA", at positions 524 to 776 of the family's 1533-position model. The record is from RNAcentral.